AUGGCUAAAUCGAAGACUCAGGAAGAAAAGGCUGAUGCCCAGGAAGUGGUGGCCAUGAAGUUGGACAUCGAGCACAUGGGAUCCAGGACGGAGGAGCUGAGCUCCAAGAUGGAGGGGAUGCAAGAGCAGGUCACGGCCCUGAAUGAAACCCUACUGCGAAUGGAAUCGCUGCUACGGGAGAAGCAGGCACCAGGUACUCCCUCCACAUCCAAGGAACAAGGGGAAGAGGUGACUUCGGGACAAAAAUCCCAGCCCACCCAAAACUCCUCUGAACCCUUGAUCUGGCACUCAGAAGUUCCACACUGGAGAAGAAAAGGUGGGCAAUAUCAGGAACAAAUCACUUAUGACCUGGAGCAGCCAAACCAAGAUGAGCAAGAACAACAAUUUGUUUACCCUGAAUUUCAACAACAGUACUAUGAAAUUGAGGGAGGGCAAGCUCAUGGUUGGGCAGAUCCUCAGCAGAAUAUGUACCAAGACAUACCAGUUUUCCCCCAGACCAAUGGUCGACCACCAUACUGGAACCAAACACCAUUAGCCCCUCCCAUGUUUCCACCAAACCAAUCCCACCACUACCCAGCACCACUACAGCCACAACCUUUGGUUUAUCCACCAAACCCACAGCCAUAUCCCCCUCAAACUCCUCAGAACCAUCCUACCAUUAAUUACCAGCCCUAUAACAUGCCACCACCCUACCCAUACCCCACCUCAAGAACAAUACAUACCACAACAACAACUAUCUAUCCCCAACCCCAUUAUCCAGUUGCUCCCUUCCAACAACAACAUAAUUACCCCCAACCUACACCCCAGAAUUCCUUCUAG
This 819-nucleotide ribosomal RNA is filed under the name Triticum aestivum (bread wheat). Its description in RNAcentral is "partial small subunit ribosomal RNA". Lineage: Eukaryota; Viridiplantae; Streptophyta; Magnoliopsida; Poales; Poaceae. The record is from RNAcentral.